This 648-nucleotide ribosomal RNA is filed under the name Triticum aestivum (bread wheat). Its description in RNAcentral is "partial small subunit ribosomal RNA". The record is from RNAcentral. Lineage: Eukaryota; Viridiplantae; Streptophyta; Magnoliopsida; Poales; Poaceae.
AUGAAAUCUAACCGGGCACCUGGGCCUGAUAAUAUUCCGGUUGAAUUUUAUCAACAUUGCUGGGAGGUCGUAGCUCCGGACUUAUUUGCUCUGUUUGAAUGGUUCUAUGAGGGGAAACUGGAUGUGCAAAGGUUGAACUAUGGCAUUAUUACCUUACUACCCAAGUCGACUGAUGCUAGUAGAAUACAGCAAUACAAACCAAUUUGUUUACUACGUUGUUCGUACAAGCUUAUUACCAAGGUCAUGGACCUUAGGGUUGGAAAAUAUGCACAUAAACUGUUCAGCAUACAGCAAAAUGCUUUUAUCAAAGGGAGGCAUAUAGAUGGCAUUUUAUCCCUCCAUGAGAUUAUGCACUACACUCAUGUCAAAAAACAAAAAGGAGUGGUUCUCAAGCUUGAUUUUGAGAAAGCCUAUGACAAAGUCAAUUGGGACUUUUUGCUAGAAUGUCAUGUUAAACGUGGUUUUAAUCAAAAAUGGUGCGGAUGGGUAAAUCGGAUCCUAAGGAAUGGGACGGUUAGUGUUAAGAUCAAUGAUGAGCUAGGUCCGUAUAUACAGAGUGCUAAAGGGGUCAGGCAAGGUGAUCCACACUCUCCGUUCUUGUUUAACCUUGCGGCAGAAUGCCUAACUAAGAUGAUGACCUCGGCCUAG